GAUGAACGCUAGCGGCAGGCUUAACACAUGCAAGUCGAGGGGUAACAGGGAAGCUUGCUUUCGCUGACGACCGGCGCACGGGUGCGUAACGCGUAUACAAUCUACCUUAUACUGGAGAAUAGCCCUAAGAAAUUGGGAUUAAUGCUCCAUAAUAAUUAGUUAUCACAUGGUAAUUAGUUUAAAGCUAUGGCGGUAUAAGAUGAGUAUGCGUCCUAUUAGUUAGUUGGUGAGGUAACGGCUCACCAAGACAGCGAUAGGUAGGGGGCCUGAGGUAGGUUACUCCCCACACGUGGUACUGAGACGACGGACCAGACUCCGUACGGGAGGCAGC
RNAcentral lists this ribosomal RNA (331 nucleotides) under uncultured bacterium. RNAcentral's name for it is "bacterial SSU rRNA". It matches the Rfam family "Bacterial small subunit ribosomal RNA", at positions 28 to 352 of the family's 1533-position model. The record is from RNAcentral.